UUUAUUUUUUCAAUACUCAUUUAAUCUCCUGAUAUGUAUUUUCUCAUUUGUAGGAAAGGUUUUAAUCUGAGGCAGAGACCCAGUUCUGGUGUGUUUUUAUUUGGACGUGGCCCCUUUAAGGGUCACAUGGUGUUGUGAACAGGAAGUAGUUGGGAGUGAGGAGAAGCAUGGCAUCAGGUAGUGCUGUCCUCCAGAGCAGCCUCCAUUCACUGACACCUCCAACCUGCUGAAGCCCCAGUCCUGAGGAAAAAAAAGCUAAAAUACAAUGCAACGGUGAAUGAGAUAAAGAAGGACCAAAGUGGACUGUGAUCUAGUCUGGGCUGACACUGCUGAAGGUGACCAUCCAUUCAGAACCAAAUCACAUGGUGAAGGACAGGAAGUGUUUAACCAGGAGGGAGGGGAGAAGACCGGCAGAGAAGACAAAGGAAAAUACAACAGGACAGAAAAGAACGCAGAAGCUUUCAUCAUCUUCCUCACUCAGCAAAAGAGGGAAAGACGGUGGUCAGCAUGUCUACGACUCAAAGGGAGCCAUCUGAGCUAAGCCUUCGUUAAAGCACGGUGAGAAAAGAGGGACAAGACAAAACCAUCCACAGGGGGCGAUAACCCAACCAAACGGGUGGGUUGCCUGUUAAUUGAGUACAAAUCAAAGUGUCCCACUCCGGCGUCCUGUCUCGCACCACUGCCUCUGCCCACAACACCCACCUACCGCAAAUACAACAGUGGCCGACGGGGGAGGUUUUAAUUCUAAUACACUGACAGCACCGUAUGUGUGAGUGUGAGUGUGUGUAUGUGUGUGUGUGUGUGUGUCAACAUGUAAAGUUGAUUAGCUCCUCAGCUGCAGCAUGGCUAAUUAAAAGUGUCUCCUGCUUGUUAACCCAGUGCACACUCCCAGCCUGCCUUUCUGCACAGCGCAGCUCUGACGCUCCAUAAAUCCUGCAGCAGCUCAAGCUCCACUGAUUCAUGGUCUUUUUAUUCAGCCUGAAACACCAACACACACACUUCCUGUCUUUAAAUGGCUACAAUUAAUCAGCAUGGAUCCACAUGAUUCAUUAUUCAUGUUUUGAUUCCAAUCAUCUUGGUUUUUAUUUACUCAAAACUGAGAGAAAUGUUUACUUUCUGUAUUAGAUUUAAAUCCAGUGCCGGUGCAGAGGAAAGAAGACAGAAAGAAGAACUCAACAUCUGACUGUUCUCCAGUUCUCCACAGUCACAGAAACACGUACACGGCCACACAGAUCUCAUGUUUGUCCGUCCCCAUCAAUCCCUAUACAACAUAAUGAACUGACAAUUACCCUGUGCAUCUGCAUGACAUCCAUGUGUUGAACUUAAUAGAGCUGUGAGUUGCAGCUGAGGUCACAUUCAACCAACCUUCCUGCCACAUACCAGCACCACCUCCUCCUACUGCACCGAUCAAUACCCAUUCCCUGACAACAUGAGACCCCUGUGGUGUUGAAAAAAAAGGCUGUGAGUCUGAUCAAUGCUUCAUUUUUACCUCUAAUCCCCCCCAACUGAGCAUCAGCCCUUCACAAUGCAUAUAUUACGGCACAAAGUACUCUUAACACCACUAUUACUUCAUUUUAAAGAGAACAGAAAAAAAAGAAAAACUGCAGCAGUAAUUUAUGUUAUAUAAGCUCUAUGCUCUGUAUACAACACCCUAUAUCACUAUGUCAGUGCAGAACAGCUGCUUCCAGACCUGCCCUGAAGUACACAUGUUGUCCACUAGGGCUGUCAAAAAGAAAAUAGU
Long non-coding RNA from Cynoglossus semilaevis (tongue sole), 1741 nucleotides. RefSeq lists it as uncharacterized. The record is from RefSeq and is a predicted model, not a curated record. NCBI's taxonomy places the organism in Eukaryota, Metazoa, Chordata, Actinopteri, Pleuronectiformes, Cynoglossidae. The transcript is spliced from 5 exons.